This 106-nucleotide small nuclear RNA is filed under the name Prolemur simus (greater bamboo lemur). Lineage: Eukaryota; Metazoa; Chordata; Mammalia; Primates; Lemuridae. The record is from RNAcentral.
GUACUCGCUUUGGCAGCACAUAUACUAAAAUUGAAAUAAUACAGAGAAGAUUAUCAUGGCUCCUGCACAACAUGACAUGCAAAUUCAUGAAGCAGUCCAUAUUUUU